Etheostoma spectabile (orangethroat darter) is the source of this 686-nucleotide long non-coding RNA. RefSeq lists it as uncharacterized. The record is from RefSeq and is a predicted model, not a curated record. The transcript is spliced from 3 exons. NCBI's taxonomy places the organism in Eukaryota, Metazoa, Chordata, Actinopteri, Perciformes, Percidae.
GCUGUGGCUGUGACACUUUGGUCGGAUAAUAAUGUCUUGUUCAGCGGUCGGUUGCACGGCAAGACACUCAAAGGAAUCGGCAGUUCAGUUUUUCCGACUUCCUUUUGAUGAGGCCAGGCUGAAGCAAUGGUUGGUGAACAUGAGGAGAGAGAGAGACCAGCAAAUGGAACCACGAAAAGUCACGUCUGCAGUUCACACUUUGAGGAAGAUCAGUUUUUUAGAGACAAUCAGGUAUCCGCACUGAAAACUGAAAGAGCAGAGCCUCCAGAAGGAAGACCUGGUGUAUAGAGCGGCGUAUUUGGUGCCAUUUCAUCUGGAUGUGGAAACCAGACAGCGUUGACCACGUCCAAAGUUCUCAAAUGUGUUCUGAUUGUAAAAAUGCCAGAAAAUCAUUUUUGGUUCAGCUUCUUCUGCUGGAAGGAUGGACCAACUUUUGGCACUUGGUAGUUAGAGGUUCAAUUUAUUGUGGUUGACUUAGUUUCUGCUGUAGUUUGAUAGGUGAUAGUAGUAACAUUAAGUAGUUUUGUGGAUUAAAACUUUUAUAAAUAUUAAACUGGAAUAAAAUAAUGAAUAUACUCUAGCAGUCACCACUUUCACAGGUGAAAGUAUGUUUGGUAAUUUCACAUAAAGGGUAUUUUAUGUAUUUUAUGUAAUUAUGUACUGUUAGAAUUAAAUAUUGACAUUGC